CCCCGCUCGUCACUUCCGGUACAGAACUUCCGCUUCCGGGUGUGAAGCCUAGCCGAGGUUUGCCUAAGCGGGUCUCGGUUCCUUCCUUCCUUCCCUUCUUUUUUUCUUCCUUUCUUCCCUGAGAGUCCGGUCCGUCGCCGCUGCCAUGUCGCCCAGUGCUGAGGUCGGCCGCGCAAACGACUCGUCACGACUUUGAAGACAGCAGAGGAAGAAACACAUUCUGCCCACUGGAGCAUUUUGAAAAGACAUCCAUGGAAGAGGUACAAGAUUUAGAGGAACAGCCUAUGAAAAAAGCCAAGAUGCAGGAAUCAGGCGAACAGCUGUUAAGGCAAGUGAACAGCACAGACGAUAGUGAUCAGAAACCUGAAUCCUCGAGCCUUGGUUCAAACCUGUCCAUGUCCAAUGAAAUUAUGCCAUGCACUGAUUACAUCUCAAGGUCAUCAAAUGAAUAUACCUCACAGAUGUAUUCUGCAAAGCCAUAUGCACAUAUUCUUUCUGUACCUGUAUCGGAAACGAUGGCCUCUUAUUCUGGUCAGACUCAGUACCAAGCACUGCAGCAGUCGCAGACAUACGCUGUUUAUCCUCAGACAACCCAAGCCUAUGGACUACCUCCUUUUGGUGCACUGUGGCCAGGUAUGAAACCUGAGAGUGGUUUAAUUCAGACUCCAUCUCCAAGUCAGCACAGUGUUCUUACCUGCACUACAGGGUUAACCACAAGCCAAUCCAGCCCAGCACAUUAUUCUUAUCCUAUUCAAGCUUCAAGUACCAACGCCAACUCAGUUUCCACCACCUCACCUGCUGUCAAUAUUUCAGCAUCAGCAGUAGCCAGCAUCUCUCAACAGGAGUAUCCUACAUAUACAAUUCUUGGCCAAAGUCAAUACCAGCCAUAUUACUCAAGUUCAAGCUUUGGAGUUGUAGCACCAGCAGACAGCAGCACAGAGAGUCCCACCUUAGCAACAACCACGUAUCCUUCUGAAAAACCAAAUGCCAUGGUGCCUACUCAGACGGCGCAGAGACAUUCCUCUGGAGACCCAUCUACAAGUCCAUCAUUGCUGAGAGCGACAGCUAGUAAGGAUGUAGAGGAGCAGUCCAGGAAAAACGUGACUGGGAAAAACAGAGGGAAGAGGAAAGCAGACGCUUCUUCACCACAGGACAAUGAGCUUGAACGAGUGUUCCUAUGGGACUUGGAUGAGACCAUCAUAAUAUUUCAUUCUCUUCUAACAGGAUCAUAUGCCCAGAAAUACGGGAAGGAUCCAACUCUAGUGAUUAGCUCUGGUUUGACCAUGGAAGAAAUGAUUUUUGAAGUUGCCGACACACACUUAUUUUUCAAUGACUUAGAGGAGUGUGACCAAGUUCACGUGGAAGAUGUUGCAUCAGAUGACAAUGGGCAAGAUUUAAGCAACUACAAUUUUUCCACGGAUGGCUUCAGUGGCUCAGGAAGUAACGCCAAUCAUGGUUCAGCGGGAGUCCAGGGUGGAGUGGAUUGGAUGAGGAAGCUGGCUUUCCGCUAUAGGAAGGUGCGCGAGGUCUAUGACAAAUACAAAAGCAACGUAGUAGCCCUUCUCAGCCCAGAAAAGAAGGAGGCUUUGCAGAGAUUAAGGGAAGACAUAGAAAUGUUAACAGAUUCCUGGUUGGGAACAGCGUUAAAGUCCCUGCUGCUCAUCCAGUCAAGAAAGAAUUGUGUGAAUGUUCUGAUAACGACUACUCAGCUGGUGCCGGCUCUGGCCAAAGUUCUGCUGUAUGGAUUAGGUGACGUGUUCCCAAUUGAAAAUAUUUAUAGCGCAACAAAAAUAGGUAAAGAGAGCUGUUUUGAAAGGAUUAUCUCUCGGUUUGGGAAGAAGGUGACAUAUGUGGUGAUUGGAGAUGGGCGUGAUGAAGAGAUGGCAGCCAAACAGCACAACAUGCCCUUCUGGAGAAUCACAAAUCACGCCGAUCUGGUGUCGCUCCACCAGGCCCUCGAACUGGACUUUCUGUGAGGAGCUGAGCAGCAGGCAGUCCGGCACAGCUCCUGACAGCCCCAUCUUGGCAAGAGCAGACUUGGGGACUUCCUUUUUCAUCCAGACAAAGCAAUGUAGCUAACGGAAGUGUACAGUAGGAGGCGCCACAGCGUCGUUAUUCCCAGGAGAGCCACCCAAGCCUUUCACUGCUGUCUGCGUUUGGGCAAGGGGAAUUUGAGGAGGAGACCCAAAACAGAGCAUCCUGGCUAGGAAUCUCCAGCAGUACAGACCUAACCCACUGUGCAACCUUUGGUGUGUUUGCAGAAAGAGUAGCGGGCAGGGAUUUGUUAAGCCACCAGGAAACUGACCAUUGUUGCCCUGAGUUUUGUUUUACUUGGCGGAACUGUUUCGAAUGCCUUCAAGAUUUCAGAAGACCUUCGGCUAACGUGUGUGAAGCUUUGUUUUUGCAUCAGAUACCAAUAUUUAUAUAGUGUCCUCUCUGAUGUUUCCUAACCCACUCAGGGGAUGGUACAUUUUCUGUGUUAACAUUAAUAAAGAUUGUCCUGGCUCUUGUUAUCAUUGAA
RNA transcript from Lacerta agilis (Sand lizard), 2521 nucleotides. It is a transcript of the gene named EYA transcriptional coactivator and phosphatase 3, with no coding region annotated. The record is from RefSeq and is a predicted model, not a curated record. NCBI's taxonomy places the organism in Eukaryota, Metazoa, Chordata, Lepidosauria, Squamata, Lacertidae. The transcript is spliced from 19 exons.